Long non-coding RNA from Myotis daubentonii (Daubenton's bat), 3645 nucleotides. RefSeq lists it as uncharacterized. The record is from RefSeq and is a predicted model, not a curated record. NCBI's taxonomy places the organism in Eukaryota, Metazoa, Chordata, Mammalia, Chiroptera, Vespertilionidae.
CUCCCCUCCCUCCCUCCCUUCCCCGGCCUGGACGCGCAGGGAGAGGGGCUCCGGGGUGCCGUGGGACGGUCAGGGGUCGCGCGCAAGCUGCUGUGGAGGGACUGAGUCCACCCGUGUGGGGCCGUAGAGUGUGGGUGGGGGCCCCCAGGACCCUGUAACUCGAUGCUUGGGAGUGUGCGAGAAGGGGUGGUCAGACAUCUGCUCGAAAAUUGCUUCCUUUCUUUCUACUUUCAGUUUUUCUACCAGGAAACAUUUAAAAACGACUUGCAUCACAAAUGGUCUUUUGGGGGGUAAAGGAGUCUGGGUUGGAAAUGGCACUCUUCCUUCGCCAACGCGUAGGACCUCCCUGGUGGAAACCCAUCAGGCCGGGAGAGGUGGGGUUCCCGCUAUUUGGGGGGUGGGUGGGUGGGUGGGUGGUGGGGUCCUGGAUUGAGGGAGUCGCCCACGGGACUCCAAAUGUGGGAGAAAGGGUGCUCGCCACAUUUUAGCUCGUCUCUUUAAAGAAUAACUUGAGAAAGGUAACCACUGUAACCCGCCCUGAAAUUUCCAACCGAUUCCAACCCAAGUAAAACUCAAUUUCCCCAGGAAAAAGGGUGGCGGUGACGUGGGGUGGGGUGAGGGGAGAAAAUGCUGAGCCUCCGGGGGUGAGAGAGAAGAGGCUCCACUCCCGCGGCGGGGGCUCUUCCCCGACUCCCAGGAUCAUCUCCGAUUUCCCAGGAAACCUCCAACCCGCGGCUACCGCAGCCCCGGCAGGAUGUUCGCUACGCCGGCCGCGUGUCCGGAAUUCCCGGGCCACCUAGGAAUUACCUGCCCCGCACAGCUGGCCAGCUCGCCUUCUUCCAGGAAUUAAAGAAACAAAUGGCGCGACCCCCACUGCGUUCGGGCAGAGGAGACCUCAGCGAGGAUGGAGCCUCUCACACGGACUCCACUCAAACUCUUCUUAAAGCGGGUAGGCGAGUCCUGGGGGAGCCGAGGAACGAGCCCCCACCGUCUGCCCGAGGACCUGAGCCAGGCCGAGGGCCACACAGGUAGCGGAGGAGCCGCCGCCGGCUGCGCCGCCCGCCCUCCCGUGUCCCCACCCCCCCAUCCCAUCCCCGCCCCUCCAGCCCCAGGCUUUGCAGCGAAGGAAGCGUCGCGGACGUCCCACCCCCGCAGGGAACUGCGCCCACUGCGCCUGCUGCCCCCGCCCGGCCCCGCACCACCCGCCCUAGCGGCCCCUCCUCGCUCCCCAGACCAUCGGCUCCGGCGGAGAGAAACGGCAGCAACAGUGCCUUUACCCCCCCACCCCCCCUCCACUUUUUUUUGUUGUUGUUGUUGCUUUCCCACGCUGGCUGAAUGUGACUUGACCCCAUUUCAAAAAGUUUGACAUAGUGCUUCAACAUUUCCGCAUUCCUCCGCGACUACAAAGGCUGCAGCCGCCUCCUUCUGCUUUCUGUCUCUGCUCUCUGUCUUCACACUCAAUGAAAUCCUUCAUGUGCCUCUCUCGGAGCCUGCCAAGCACCGCAAGGGUCGCCACCAGCGCCGCGACCAGAGGCCGCACCGGGGACCACGGCUCCCGCGUGCGCGCACACACGGAUGCGCCCACGUGCACACUGACCGGCGGGCUGCGGGGCCGAGGCUGCUCCCUGCGGGGUGUGCGUUAGAGCUCCGAUAUUGGAAAUUCGAAAAGUAAACUGGGAAGCUAAAGCGAACCUGCCUUGAGUCCAUGCGGGGCUCCAAGCCUGGGCACUGGUCAGCCUGCGUGCACUCCUCCAAGUGUGCAAAACUCCGCCGCGGGGGUUGCCAGCGAGAAGCCUGCGUUCACGUUUACCUCGUGGUGGGAAGGUGGAGCCCACACCCACACCUCGGCGAGCCGGAGCGAGAGCUUUCGUGGGAAAUCAACAUGGAGCACGGGAACACAUUCUCCCGCACAGAGUCCCCAGGGGCAGUGCAUUUUCACCCCUAAACGUGGAUUAUUGUAGGACCGUCCGAGCGGAGUUUAAAUUCCGUUUCAAAAUCUGCAUAAGGAGUGUUUGUGCUUUUGCUCACGGCUAUGUGGGAGCGGGCACAGGACCUGUGUUGGGCGUCCCUAGUGUGUGAUGUCCUCCGUCUCUAGUCAGAUUAGGAGAGACGCCUUGAGCGCCCCCAAACUGGACCCCGUAACUAGCCCGCCUUGGUUCGCAAAGGGUUAAUCAAAGUGGAUUCCGAGGACAUACCCUCCACCCCAUCAGUCACCCCCACCCACACCCUCGCUUCCGACCCCAGACGAGGGCCCCACUCUCCCCCGGGGACCCCCUCCCCCCACCCCGCAGCCCACCCACCCGAGCGCCCAGAUCCUCACCUGAGCGACCGGGCCACAUCCGGCCUCCCGAGGGGGCUGCGAGUGUCAGUCCGACCUCCGCACGUGUCCGCGGCGGCGGGGAGCAGGUAACCCGGCUCGGAGGAAGGAGUCACCAGCUCGCUCUCGGCGAGGGGGUGGGCACAGCGGCGGAGGGCGGAGGGACGGCGGAGGGCGCCGCCCGCGCGGCUCGCAGGGGGUGGACGGGAGCCGUGGGGCUCCGGCCGGAGCUCGGGGCCCGAGCUGGGGAGGUAGCGGGGGCGGGGGCGGGGGCGGGGGCCCGGGAGGCCGACUCUGCCCGAGACCCACCGGGCGGCAGGGUGGGGGGCUCGCGGCGCAGGGGCAAGCAAGUGUGCAAAUUAAAGCCUUCCGGAGAGAGCGGAGGCGGCCGGAGCGGCGGUGCUCCGAGCUCCCAGCUCCCCAGCUCUCGGCUCCAAGUGGGGGGCGAGGCGGGGGGGAGAGGGGGGCUUAAAUGAAAAUUUCCGGCUUUCCCUGCAACUGGAGUGGGAGAAGCUUGCGACUAAAAUCAGAAGCGUGAGGGGGAUGUGUCGCCGGGAGUCGGCGGAGUUUCCACACCCAGGGUCGCCCGGAGUUGGGGUUUUGACAGAGUGAGGAGGGGGUAUCAGCAGUUUGAGAUGUAGACGGAUGGGAAAAACACAAAACGAUCGACGAUAAUUAUGAGGGGCCCAUGGGGAUGGUAAAUACCCACACUUUCCAAGAAACUGAAAAAUCAGACCGAAAAAUAAUUCUUUUCUAUUAAAAAAAAAAAAAAAAGUUUGGCAGGACGCCUUGCAGAAAAGAAAAUACUAAUCUGUCCAAGCACUUUUCACUUUCAGCAUGAGCUACAUUGGUUUUGUUUUCCUUCGCUUCCUUUCGGCCUCACAAAGCCCUAUCUUUUCCUUUUGGACAGAGGGUAUGAUUUGGAAAUUGUCAGGCACUCUUGUGGUUAACGAUCACUUGAAGGGACUGGCCGGUUCACAAUUAUUAAGUGGUUAGCAAAUGCUGAGGGUUCACUAAGGUAUUUCUGAGGAGAUAAAAAAAACAACAACACUAAAAUUCAGUGUAAGUAAUAAAACCUCAAGAUAACACACACACACACACACACACACACACACACACACACACGAACGUGAUUCGGUAGGUGCUCAGUUUGAAUGCAUUGUUGGGAUUCUGAAAUUUGAAACCUUGUAAGCAUGUAUCUUUACCUGCUGAGAAAACCUGAAUACAAUUAUUUCAGGUGGAAAUGCGAUUUUGGCAGAAAAAAGGAGUUUUCAAUACUUUCUACCAUGGAGUAAAACAAAACUUAAAAUAACUGUGUGUGUUUUUUU